Molecule: long non-coding RNA, 2495 nt
Filed under: Homo sapiens (human)
Lineage: Eukaryota; Metazoa; Chordata; Mammalia; Primates; Hominidae
Description: HSALNT0373838
Source: RNAcentral
AAAAAAUAUAUAUAUAUAUAUACACACACACACACACACACACACACACACGGAUCAGGAUUCAAAUGUACUAACGUGAUACAAGGCCUAUCACUUUUUAACUUCACCAUACUGUAUUUUCAGUCAUUUUAACAUACACAGCUAAUGAAUAUCUAUCUUAUUUGCACACUUAGGAUAAUAACAGAAAUUAAAAGUUGAACAUAUGCAGUUUAUUUUGUCCAAAAUAUAAUUGUUGUUUCUCUGUGUUGGGAAAGGCUGUCUCCUGCAUGCAGUCCUGUGUGUGGACUCCAUUGGACCACAGAAGAAUGAGCCUUCAACCCGAACACUUCCUUACCAACAGAUAAAGAGCCUUCACAGCAUGUGCCGGGUUUAUCGCCUGGUAUGGGAAUAUCUUUUCCUGUUUCAGACUCUGUAUACUCCUUUAAUCUGCUUAAGCUCAUAUGUCAAUGGCCCUCAGACACACCUCCAGCUUUCUGUAUUUCAGACUGCAUGGGAAGGGGGAGGGGUCCCUCUAUUGCAGCACAAAGUGGGGUGGGUGCAGCUAACUCCCCACAUAGCAUAGCUGUGAAGUGGAUCCAGUGGCCCUGAGGGACCAACACAAUGUAAGGAGCUGGACCUUGUGCACUCUUGCUCCUCUCUUGCUGUGAGUAAACACUGUAUGGCUUGAGUCCAGCAUGUGUGUUUUCUGUAUCACAACCUCGGGUCGUGCAUUGGUCUCUUCCCUGGAAGGCACUUUUUAUCUGUCUUCUAACCUUGGCAGCACAGCCCGGCCAUCCAGUGAAUGAUGAAAUACUUAGCACUUGUUGUCAUAGUAGGUAAUUUUGUGAAUUCAAAUAAAUAAUCAGCUAAUAAAAUUGGCUUCAAAAUACUCUUGGAUUGGAGAAUUGAAAAGGCACAUUUCACUCAAGGCAUCUUUGCCCCUGGGCUGUAACUUAAAAUACCUCUUUGAUUUCAGGCCUCCUUAUCUAACUUCUGCUCAGUCACCUCUGCAUUCUACCUGUAGAAAAGUGACUCAACAUCAUUCCAGAAGUCCGGAAUUCUACAAGAAUCAUCUGAUGUCAAAAAUAACUGAGAACAAUCUGAACAGGAGAGGAAGAUAGAAGUAACUAUGAAAGAUUACAGAGAUUAGAAAGAGCCACUGUACUUGAAAGAAAGCAAUCAUCUCUGAGAGCUCUUCAAUUACAACGAAAUUGUCAGCUAGAUAGAAGGAAUUAAUACUAGUGUUUGAUACCACCUUACGAUGACUAUAGGUAACAAAAAUACAUGAUUUAGUUUAAUAUAGCUUGAAGGAGGAUAUAUUUAUGAUGAUGAAUAUGCUAAUUACCCCGAUCUGAUCAUUCUAUUUUAUAUGUAGCAAAACCUUGCCCUGUACUCAGUAAAUAUACACAAUUAUUGUGGAUCAGUAAAGAAAAUAAAAUGCAAUUAGAAAGUAUAGAGCGGAAUCUCAUGAAUAUUAAAAUAUUAAUUACAAAAUAGCUAUAUGGGAUAGUCAUAUAAGAUGGCAUAACUUGAAAACCAGAGUUCCAUUGAUUCCCUCAAGGCUCCUAAGUGCCUGGGAGUUAUUUGGAGAGGUAGGGAUGCUGGUGAUGUGGGAGCAGCGAUGAAUCCUUCCAGGGUGGGCAACAGGCUGAACUCUGGCUCUCUUAUCCUAUUUUCAACUAUAACAGCUGUUUUAUAUUCCAAAUAAUACUGCAGUUGAUUGAAAAGUCCUCUAAUUUAAGAAAUUAAGAGUUUGAGAAUACAUAUUAUAGUUAAAUGAAAUAACUUUAUAUCUGGUGAGAUUGUGAUUGCAGAAAUUUCACACAGAUAUUAAUAAGAAGAAAUUUUUUCUUUUAAAUAUUAGUAUUCAAAUUAUUCCAUGUGGUUCUAUAAAAGUAUAAUUUUUUAAAAGUAUGAUUUAAUGAGAAGGCAGAAUCCAAUAUAUUAUGUCAUGUCAUGAACCAAUUGGCUGCCUUAUUGGCCAAAAUAAAAGCAGAGUGUUAUGGAUUUUGUGCACACAAAGUUUCAUCAUCUAAUGGGAAAAAUACGGAGAACCCUAACAAAAUUAAUUCUCAGUCUGUUCCCAUAGAUAUCAUGUAAAUUUGUUUCAUGUUGUUUUAAGGUUUCCUAUUUUUAUGCAUUUAUAUAGGUUAGUAUGAUUUAAACUAACGAAUCAACCAAACAAAAUUGAUGGCAAUUGUAUUCCAGAGUGACAAUUUAAGUACCAUGAGAUAAUGUUCAUAUUGAGGCUUUGAUAAGAAAUUCUUAAGUUUAUAAAAAGCUCUUAACAUGAUUAAUAACUCCAACUAAUAUUCUAAAUAUAUUAAAUAUAAUAAACAUGAGACAAAGUCUUUUUCAAAGUUAUCUAAGUUCAUGUUAAACUAUGAAUUGGUUGGUACACAACCAAAUGAAAAUUAGAUUCUGCAUAUAAAAUAAUAACUUUCUGGGACAAAAAAUCCACAUGCUAUUUAGCAGGGAAUGAAGGUCCUUUCAAGGAAAUAUAGAUCUAAUCUGUG